This 208-nucleotide ribosomal RNA is filed under the name uncultured bacterium. RNAcentral describes it as "partial 16S ribosomal RNA". It matches the Rfam family "Bacterial small subunit ribosomal RNA", at positions 568 to 774 of the family's 1533-position model. The record is from RNAcentral.
UGCGUAGGUGGUGGGGUAAGUUUGAGGUGAAAGCUCCGGGCUCAACCCGGAAAUGGCCUUGAAGACUAUCCUGCUCGAGGGUUGGAGGGGGGACGUGGAAUUCUCGGUGUAGCAGUGAAAUGCGUAGAUAUCGAGAGGAACACCAGUGGCGAAGGCGAGUCCCUGGACAACACCUGACACUGAGGCACGAAAGCUAGGGGAGCAAACG